AGGACGAACGCUGGCGGCGUGCCUAAAACAUGCAAGUCGAACGGUGAACCGGAGCUUGCUCCGGGAAUCAGUGGCGAACGGGUGAGUAACACGUGAGAAACCUGCCUCGAAGUCUGGGAUAAGCCAGGGAAACUUGGUCUAAUACCGGAUACCUUCACUAAGUCUUCUGUCUUGGUGAAGAAAGUUUUUCGCUUCGAGAGGGUCUCGCGUCCUAUCAGCUUGUUGGUGGGUAACGCCUACCAAGGCUUCGACGGGUAGC
RNAcentral lists this ribosomal RNA (259 nucleotides) under uncultured bacterium. RNAcentral describes it as "partial small subunit ribosomal RNA". It matches the Rfam family "Bacterial small subunit ribosomal RNA", at positions 26 to 287 of the family's 1533-position model. The record is from RNAcentral.